GCCGGCGUAGCUCAGUGGUAGAGCAGCUGUUUUGUAAACAGCUGGCCGUCGGUUCGAAUCCGUCCGCCGGCUCCA
Molecule: transfer RNA, 75 nt
Filed under: Candidatus Dormiibacterota bacterium
Lineage: Bacteria; Bacillati; Candidatus Dormiibacterota
Also listed under: 1 other name
Description: tRNA-Thr
Rfam family: tRNA
About the family: Transfer RNA (tRNA) molecules are approximately 80 nucleotides in length. Their secondary structure includes four short double-helical elements and three loops (D, anti-codon, and T loops).
Source: RNAcentral